CGGCAAUGUUAAACCUCCAGUAUUUCUUCAGUGUUCACAUCCUGUAUCGAUCACAAAAAAUCGAUUGUUUCACAUUCGGACUACAGAUAACAACUCACUCUUGAAGCUGUGGCAGAGUCUCUCAAGCCCUUGUUGAUUCUUGCUCAAUCGAAUAUCACGAUAGCAGCAGACGACAGUUACCGAGUGGAGCGAAACAAGCAGACGACAUCUCUCUCCAGUACAAGCGUCUUCUCCACUUUGUUUUAGUGAGUGUGUUUAGACGAGGUUCCUACGUGCUUCUGGAGGACAUAUUUUGUAGGAUGAUAGUCCAUGUGAAGGCAACGACAUAAACGAUAGAAUGGGUCUUCUAUCAGAAUUCUGUCCUUCCUAUAACGACUCCUACGGGGAUAGGCAAAGCGCCUUUUACUGUCCUGUCAAAAUGCGACUCUUCACCGCUAACGACCAUUUCUGCUGCGGUAACAACACCCGCAGAUUCUGCUGCCAAGACAUCACGAAGAGCAUUUACAGCCAUGCAGAAUCGGAAUCAAUAGCCUAUUGGAAUGAAUUUUGGCCCUAUUUUGCUGUCAUCGGGUUUGCUAUCAUAUCGGUUCUGUUUGCGCCGUUCCUUUUCCCUCCAAAGAAGUCUGUGAUCAUGUCCUGACCUGAUGUCAGGGUAAACACCAGCCUUACCUCCCCUUCAUGACCUUCUGGAGGACAAG
Molecule: long non-coding RNA, 698 nt
Organism: Haliotis rubra (blacklip abalone)
Lineage: Eukaryota; Metazoa; Mollusca; Gastropoda; Lepetellida; Haliotidae
Exons: 3
Source: RefSeq, a predicted model, not a curated record